This 305-nucleotide ribosomal RNA is filed under the name uncultured Bacteroidota bacterium. RNAcentral's name for it is "bacterial SSU rRNA". It matches the Rfam family "Bacterial small subunit ribosomal RNA", at positions 147 to 451 of the family's 1533-position model. The record is from RNAcentral. Lineage: Bacteria; Pseudomonadati; Bacteroidota.
CCCAGAGAAAUUUGGAUUAAUCCUCCAUAAUAUCUUUUUCGUGCAUAUGAAAAAGAUUAAAGCUACGGUGGUAAAAGAUGGGCAUGCGUUUUAUUAGCUAGUAGGUGAGGUAACGGCUCACCUAGGCCACGAUAAAUAGGGGCCCUGAGAGGGGGAUCCCCCACACUGGUACUGAGACACGGACCAGACUCCUACGGGAGGCAGCAGUGAGGAAUAUUGGACAAUGGACGAAAGUCUGAUCCAGCCAUGCCGCGUGCAGGAUGACGGCCCUAUGGGUUGUAAACUGCUUUUAUACAGGAAGAAAC